Molecule: non-coding RNA, 25 nt
Filed under: Mus musculus (house mouse)
Lineage: Eukaryota; Metazoa; Chordata; Mammalia; Rodentia; Muridae
Source: RNAcentral
UCCUCUCUUGCGGAUUUUAAGGCAA